CAAUUUUUAGCAAGCAGGUUAGCCUCUUGUCUACAAUAAGUGCUGCCACCUGAAUUUUCCAACCGUGUUUUGGUAUUCAUUUUCCUGACUGUUUUUAAAUUUAAUCGCAGAGGUAAAUGUAAACCGGUUAUCAAUGCACUUUUAAAAGACUAAAUGAGUUUCUGAAAACCAUAUCAGUUCUACUGUUCAACAGAAUUUAUUGGUAAACUGCUGCCGAUAAUUUGCGACAUUCUAUUCUUGCAUCUCUUACCGUGCUGCAUUAACUGGCACAUGUAGUCAGCUGUGUGCUAGGAACAAGUUGUGGACAGCUUGUGAACAUAACCUAAAAGCUGACACUUUACUGAUCCUUGUUUGUGUUUGCCCUGCAGUCAUUGGCUGAGCUCGCUACAACUACCACAUGGCCCCCGAGGUUAAGAAGACGUAUUGAACACUGAACAACAAAAAAGGAGAGUCUGGCUUCCAGUAGAGUAAAUUUGUGAAAUUAAUUUUAUAAACUCGUUAAAUUUUUUGUAAAAUAAAGUGAUAGACUGUCAGAAGGGUCGUAGUGGCGGAGAUGAUUAGUGCUGUGCAGCCUUCACUCAAGACAAAGCAUUUAAGCAGCAGGCUGCUAAGUGUUUAAAUCAUUUCCGAGUUUUCUCACAUUUCAGUUUUAUCAGGUUUGGCAGUCCCGGUUCCCCCACUAACUGCACUCCUUAAUUCCGCUUUCUUGUACAUAAUUCUGUCUUGUUCUAACGCUUUCAUCACUGUAUAGAAUAGAAGCGCCGGUGUCAGUUUUUGUAUAAAUAUAGUUAGGGAUACGAGCCGAGUACGAACUAACAACAUUGUAUACGUAUUUUUCAGACCCUUUUCUUGUGUAAAAAUGUAUUUUUAUGGAGUAAUUGUAACGUACGAUCAACUGACCAAUCCACAAACGACGGACGUGUGAGGGCGGCAUCCUUUCAUUCCUUACUAGGACCGUGCCAUACCUGCUGUACAGUAUUGGGUCCUUCUCGUUGUUAUUGGGUGUUUUGUAAAGAAACAAACUUUGUCAAAUAUUUUAAGGAAUAAAGUCUUUGAACUGGUUA
Molecule: long non-coding RNA, 1064 nt
Organism: Homalodisca vitripennis (glassy-winged sharpshooter)
Lineage: Eukaryota; Metazoa; Arthropoda; Insecta; Hemiptera; Cicadellidae
Exons: 2
Source: RefSeq, a predicted model, not a curated record